UACGGGGGGGGCAAGCGUUGUUCGGAAUUACUGGGCGUAAAGGGCUCGUAGGCGGCCAACUAAGUCAGACGUGAAAUCCCUCGGCUUAACCGGGGAACUGCGUCUGAUACUGGAUGGCUUGAGUUUGGGAGAGGGAUGCGGAACUCCAGGUGUAGCGGUGAAAUGCGUAGAUAUCUGGAGGAACACCGGUGGCGAAGGCGGCAUCCUGGACCAACACUGACGCUGAGUGAGCGAAAGCCAGGGGAGCAAACGGG
RNAcentral lists this ribosomal RNA (254 nucleotides) under uncultured bacterium. Its description in RNAcentral is "partial 16S ribosomal RNA". It matches the Rfam family "Bacterial small subunit ribosomal RNA", at positions 524 to 776 of the family's 1533-position model. The record is from RNAcentral.